CCCUUAGAUGUCCUGGGCCGCACGCGCGUUACACUGAUGCAUUCAACGAGCUUAUAACCUUGGCCGAGAGACCUGGGCAAUCUUGUUAACGUGCAUCGUGAUAGGGAUAGAUUAUUGAAAUUAUUAAUCUUGAACGAGGAAUUCCUAGUAAACGCAGAUCAUCAAUCUGCAUUGAUUACGUCCCUGCCCUUUGUACACACCGCCCGUCGCACCUACCGAUUGGAUGGUCCGGUGAAGCCUCGGGAUUGUGGUUCUUGCCGCUUUGUUGUGGCGUGACCGCGAGAACUUGUCUAAACCUUAUCAUCUAGAGGAAGGUGAAGUCGUAACA
Molecule: ribosomal RNA, 328 nt
Filed under: uncultured eukaryote
Lineage: Eukaryota
Description: partial 18S ribosomal RNA
Rfam family: Eukaryotic small subunit ribosomal RNA
Source: RNAcentral